RNAcentral lists this ribosomal RNA (737 nucleotides) under Ruegeria sp. AU528. RNAcentral describes it as "bacterial SSU rRNA". It matches the Rfam family "Bacterial small subunit ribosomal RNA", at positions 60 to 842 of the family's 1533-position model. The record is from RNAcentral. Lineage: Bacteria; Pseudomonadati; Pseudomonadota; Alphaproteobacteria; Rhodobacterales; Roseobacteraceae.
AGUCGAGCGCGCCUUUCGAGGUGAGCGGCGGACGGGUUAGUAACGCGUGGGAAUAUACCCUUUGGUACGGAAUAGCCUCUGGAAACGGAGAGUAAUACCGUAUGUGCCCUUUCGAGGGGAAAGAUUUAUCGCCAAGGGAUUAGCCCGCGUUAGAUUAGGUAGUUGGUGGGGUAAUGGCCUACCAAGCCUACGAUCUAUAGCUGGUUUUAGAGGAUGAUCAGCAACACUGGGACUGAGACACGGCCCAGACUCCUACGGGAGGCAGCAGUGGGGAAUCUUGGACAAUGGGCGCAAGCCUGAUCCAGCCAUGCCGCGUGAGUGAUGAAGGCCUUAGGGUCGUAAAGCUCUUUCGCCUGUGAAGAUAAUGACGGUAGCAGGUAAAGAAACCCCGGCUAACUCCGUGCCAGCAGCCGCGGUAAUACGGAGGGGGUUAGCGUUGUUCGGAAUUACUGGGCGUAAAGCGCACGUAGGCGGACUGGAAAGUUGGGGGUGAAAUCCCAGGGCUCAACCCUGGAACUGCCUCCAAAACUAUCAGUCUAGAGUUCGAGAGAGGUGAGUGGAAUUCCGAGUGUAGAGGUGAAAUUCGUAGAUAUUCGGAGGAACACCAGUGGCGAAGGCGGCUCACUGGCUCGAUACUGACGCUGAGGUGCGAAAGUGUGGGGAGCAAACAGGAUUAGAUACCCUGGUAGUCCACACCGUAAACGAUGAAUGCCAGUCGUCGGGUAGCAUGCUAUUCG